UCAUUUCUAAUUCUCUGAAAACUCUUUGUAAUGAACUUGGCACCUAUGAGUUGAUUUCCAUCAGAAUAGUCUCUCUCAUAUAUAGACUUAUUCUCUGGAGUUGACAUCCUAGCUUUCAUCUUGAAUAAAGAUUGAGUUAGUCUGCUACUUAUUAUUAUUUGUUGAAGAGUGUAUCAGUAAGUUCCUUGGCGACUGGAAUCCUUGCUCAUGUAAAUGAUAUAAGAUGAUUAUGUCACAACGAUCCUCUUCGCUCUUUGCGACUUCUCAGUAAAUUAGGGAUUUCCCUACNAUUAGGGGGUUUUCGAUUUUAAUUUUCUCAAUCCGUCAGUCGCCGCCCACCUCCCAUGCGGACUACAAAGGUGCGAUUAAUAGGUACCACCGAUCAUUAUAGAGUUCUGAACUCUUUCAUAAAUUGUCUGAAUUGCAGCUAGCCAUAGGUGUUUUCCUUAUAUUAUCAGUUUCAGUGUGUUAAUAUAAUAAUUGUAUGUCGCAAGCAGUCUUUAGGACAAACAAUCAUUCGUUAUUUUUUAUUAAGUUUUUGUGUAUAGUCUGAAACACACAAAGAUAAUGUGGAACAGCGAUAAGUCAUUUAUAUUUUCAUAAUUUUUUUUGUUUCAAGGAUUUGGAUCAUUUGGAUUUUGUUCGUAAAAUGUGGGGUUGCCUAGUAUUUGAUUUAACUACUCUGCAUUAGCUUCCAAAUGUGGUUUAUGCGCUGUUAAUAUAAAGUAUAUGGUCAAAAAGUUGGCUUUUUCCAAGUAUGCAUCUAACUAAAUGAUAUACAUAAAUUCUAUUUACAAUUUGUUCAUCUUUUUAUAUUGUGUAUAUGGAACACGGGCACAGAUUGGUAUUUGGUUGAUUAUGUAAAAAGCAACAGCCAACAAAUUUAUUUCCCAUGAUCCGGUAGAGGAAGGAUUGCAUGUAUUGUUAUAUAUUUGAGCAUUUUCCCAUUAUCUGGCAUAUUAAUUGAGCAUGGUUCUAAUAAUAUAAUCUAUUAACUUUUCCAUUGAUUUCUUUGAGUGUAUUAUUUAUGUGUAAUGUUCAAUGUAAUUAUAGAAUUUUAUAAAGAAAUUCAUUGUUCACUUCUAUGCAAUGCUCUUAUUCUGAGGCUUUUGCACUUAGGUAUGUUUUGGAUCCUCACAACCGUGGUGUGAAAUUUUUAUGAUAGGCAGUUAGUUCAUUUUUCUACUUGUUUGUUGACAGAGUUAAAAUAAUUGACUAGGGAUCUGUAAAGAAGGUGAAAUGGCCAAUCAAGUUGGGUGGGGGAUAAUGACCACCAAUCGAGAUUCUUGUGGGUCCAGUUUUCCGCAUUAUAUAGUUUGUUUUCAUCUACAUUCUGUAAUCCUAAGCUUCAUUAUUAAUUAAAUUUUUUAACUUUGUUCAGGAUAGUAGCAUUGUGUCAGAAAGAGAAGGACAAAAAAAUUGACAUGAGGACAUAAUAAAGAAGACUAG
This 1449-nucleotide long non-coding RNA is filed under the name Daucus carota (carrot). RNAcentral's name for it is "long non-coding RNA (DCAR_LNC001056)". Lineage: Eukaryota; Viridiplantae; Streptophyta; Magnoliopsida; Apiales; Apiaceae. The record is from RNAcentral.